CGAACGGGUGAGUAACACGUGGGCAACCUGCCCAAAAGAGGGGGAUAACGCUUGGAAACAGGUGCUAAUACCGCAUAACCAUAGUUACCGCAUGGUAACUAUGUAAAAGGUGGCUAUGCUACCGCUUUUGGAUGGGCCCGCGGCGCAUUAGCUAGUUGGUGGGGUAAAGGCUUACCAAGGCAAUGAUGCGUAGCCGAACUGAGAGGUUGAUCGGCCACAUUGGGACUGAGACACGGCCCAAACUCCUACGGGAGGCAGCAG
This 261-nucleotide ribosomal RNA is filed under the name uncultured bacterium. Its description in RNAcentral is "partial 16S ribosomal RNA". It matches the Rfam family "Bacterial small subunit ribosomal RNA", at positions 99 to 354 of the family's 1533-position model. The record is from RNAcentral.